UGGGGAAUAUUGCGCAAUGGGGGAAACCCUGACGCAGCAACGCCGCGUGAAUGAGGAAGGCCCUCGGGUUGUAAAGUUCUGUCGAGUGGGAAGAACCGUACUUGGUCUAAUAGGCCUUGUACCUGACGGUACCACUAAAGGAAGCACCGGCUAACUUCGUGCCAGCAGCCGCGGCAAUACGAAGGGUGCAAGCGUUGUUCGGAUUUACUGGGCGUAAAGCGUGCGCAGGCGGAUAGGUAAGUUGGAUGUGAAAUCUCGGGGCUCAACCCCGAAACUGCCUCCAAAACUGCUCAUCUAGAAUCUCGAAGGGGGAAGUGGAAUUUCGCAUGUAGGGGUAAAAUCCGUAGAGAUGCGAAGGAACAUCUGGGGCGAAGGCAACUUCCUGGGAGAGUAUUGACGCUGAGGCACGAAAGCGUGGGGAGCAAACAGG
RNAcentral lists this ribosomal RNA (430 nucleotides) under uncultured Bacteriovoracaceae bacterium. RNAcentral's name for it is "bacterial SSU rRNA". It matches the Rfam family "Bacterial small subunit ribosomal RNA", at positions 355 to 776 of the family's 1533-position model. The record is from RNAcentral. Lineage: Bacteria; Pseudomonadati; Bdellovibrionota; Bacteriovoracia; Bacteriovoracales; Bacteriovoracaceae.